RNAcentral lists this ribosomal RNA (432 nucleotides) under uncultured bacterium. Its description in RNAcentral is "partial 16S ribosomal RNA". It matches the Rfam family "Bacterial small subunit ribosomal RNA", at positions 29 to 505 of the family's 1533-position model. The record is from RNAcentral.
AGCGAACGCUGGCGGCAGGCCUAACACAUGCAAGUCGAACGAACCUUUCGGGGUUAGUGGCGGACGGGUGAGUAACACGUGGGAACGUGCCUUUAGGUUCGGAAUAACUCAGGGAAACUUGUGCUAAUACCGAAUGUGCCCUUCGGGGGAAAGAUUUAUCGCCUUUAGAGCGGCCCGCGUCUGAUUAGCUAGUUGGUUGAGGUAAUGGCUCACCAAGGCGACGAUCAGUAGCUGGUCUGAGAGGAUGAUCAGCCACAUUGGGACUGGGACACGGCCCAAACUCCUACGGGAGGCAGCAGUGGGGAAUCUUGCGCAAUGGGCGAAAGCCUGACGCAGCCAUGCCGCGUGAAGGAUGAAGGUCUUAGGAUUGUAAAAUUCUUUCACCGGGGACGAUAAUGACGGUACCCGGAGAAGAAGCCCCGGCUAACUUCG